Molecule: long non-coding RNA, 431 nt
Filed under: Glycine max (soybean)
Lineage: Eukaryota; Viridiplantae; Streptophyta; Magnoliopsida; Fabales; Fabaceae
Description: long non-coding RNA (GMAX_LNC004038)
Source: RNAcentral
UUAAUUAGAUCCCUCCUUGGAACUAAGAUGGUUGCUAGGCAAGUAGCAGCUAGCUAGCGGAUCCAAUUAUGUUUCUUGCCUGCUUCACAAGAGGUAGGUAUAUAUAGACAAGGUGCAUAAACCUGCUGCAGCAAACCUCUAUGGAAAUCAAACACGAACUCUAUAGACAAAUUGGUUUCCACAUGGAGUCACUGGUGAGAUCGAUGAUUGAGCAAAAAGGGUCGAUAGAUUAUUCACUAUUUGGCUUAUUUGCGCUAUUGCUAGCUUUCGGGUAAAAAUAGUCAACCUUCUUGUUGCUUGCGAGCGAGGUGAUGAUUUGCUGGAAUCUUGAUUAAUUUGCCUGUUGUUGUUUAUUUCUAUAGCUAAACUUGUGCCUUCUGAUCAUGUUGGAAAGGUAUACGUCUCACGAGGAUUGGUCAAUGAUCAUUAAU